CGCACAUUGCGCCUUCUGGUAUUCCGGGAGGCAUGCCUGUUUGAGCGUCAGCAAAACCCUUCUGUAGAAAUUUUAUUGUUUCCUCAGGUGUUGGGCUUCUGGAGGAUGGGUCUAACCACCCGCUCCGGCCUUAAUAUUGCUGCACGACCGCAAGCUAUUCUUGUUAGGUUAAUGGAGUGGUAAUACAAUUUCCAUGCAACUGACUGAACUGCUGGUGGCGUUAAAUCUGAUGUUGCCUCACCGCAACUGAAGUUUGACCUCAAAUCAGACAAGGAUACCCGCUGAACUUAA
RNAcentral lists this unclassified non-coding RNA (291 nucleotides) under Orbiliales sp. Its description in RNAcentral is "partial contains 5.8S ribosomal RNA, internal transcribed spacer 2, and large subunit ribosomal RNA". The record is from RNAcentral. Lineage: Eukaryota; Fungi; Ascomycota; Orbiliomycetes; Orbiliales.